UACGAAGGGGGCUAGCGUUGCUCGGAAUGACUGGGCGUAAAGGGCGCGUAGGCGGUUUGUACAGUCAGGUGUGAAAUUCCCGGGCUCAACCUGGGGGCUGCACUUGAUACGUAUGGACUGGAGUGGGGAAGAGGGUCGUGGAAUUCCCAGUGUAGAGGUGAAAUUCGUAGAUAUUGGGAAGAACACCGGUGGCGAAGGCGGCAUCCUGGACCGGCAUUGACGCUGAGGCGCGGAAGCCAGGGGAGCAAACGGG
Molecule: ribosomal RNA, 253 nt
Filed under: uncultured bacterium
Lineage: Bacteria
Description: partial 16S ribosomal RNA
Rfam family: Bacterial small subunit ribosomal RNA
Source: RNAcentral